Molecule: long non-coding RNA, 892 nt
Filed under: Eutrema salsugineum
Lineage: Eukaryota; Viridiplantae; Streptophyta; Magnoliopsida; Brassicales; Brassicaceae
Description: long non-coding RNA (ESAL_LNC000404)
Source: RNAcentral
AUCAAUUAAAAGAAAAUGAAAAGAAAAAUUUUAAAAAAGAAAAAAAAGGAAAAAAAUUGAAUCGGGUUCUCCGUCGUCUCCGUCGUCGUCGUCCGGCUGAAGCUUCCUGUCAUCGGAUUCCGCUAGAAUCAGGUCAGUUUUUCUUGGAUAUUCUUGCUCUUUUCAUUAUGUGUUCAUUCGUCUGUGCUGCAUUGCCCAACUUAUUAAGAAUCAAGGUAAUUGCAGAUUCAGUAUUUCAAUUGGAAUUCAAUUUCAAUUGAGAUUCAAUUCAUAAAAGUGAAUUAUCAUAAUAAUAGUAAAUUUCUUGUCAUUAUUUAAGGGGACUUCUUGUAUAAGAGAACCAUAGUUUCAUAAUAAUGUAAAAGAUUUGUGGGAUAGAGAUUAUAGUAUAUUGAAACUGAAUCGGAGCUGGAUAAUGUUUUGGGUAUAACUGGUAUAACUUGGUAAUUUUAGAAUCUUACAAAUGGUAUAACUUGGCAAUUAUAAUUCGGUACAACUGAUAUAACUUGAUAACUAUAAUUUGGUGUAACUGGUAUAACUUGGUUAUACCAAUUUGAUACAUCUGGUAUAUCUGGGACAACUGGUAUAACUUGGUAACUAAUGUUGUUGUUUUUGUUUGUUUUCAGGGCAGAAUGAAUAUGAGUCAGCUCACAGUCAUAGAUUUUGACUAUGGAGGAUACUAUUCAGGCAGCAGCACAGGCAUACAAUAUGCUAUCUUGCUCAUGUUGAUGGCUUAAAUAUUGGGUGAUCCUGGAAGCAGCGGCUGUCUUGCUCAGACUACUUGGUAUAAGUAUGUGUAUCUCUUUUGGAUAAUAAUGUAAUACUGGGUUUUGCUUUGUAAUACUAGUAUAUUUUUGACUGCUGCGGUAUAACUAAUAAUAAUGGUAUAACC